GACGAACGCUGGCGGCGUGCUUAACACAUGCAAGUCGAACGGUGAAGCCCUUCGGGGUGGAUCAGUGGCGAACGGGUGAGUAACACGUGGGCAAUCUGCCCUGCACUCUGGGACAAGCCCUGGAAACGGGGUCUAAUACCGGAUAUGACUGUCUGCCGCAUGGUGGAUGGUGGAAAGCUCCGGCGGUGCAGGAUGAGCCCGCGGCCUAUCAGCUUGUUGGUGGGGUGAUGGCCUACCAAGGCGACGACGGGUAGCCGGCCUGAGAGGGCGACCGGCCACACUGGGACUGAGACACGGCCCAGACUCCUACGGGAGGCAGCAGUGGGGAAUAUUGCACAAUGGGCGCAAGCCUGAUGCAGCGACGCCGCGUGAGGGAUGACGGCCUUCGGGUUGUAAACCUCUUUCAGCAGGGAAGAAGCGAAAGUGACGGUACCUGCAGAAGAAGCACCGGCUAACUACGUGCCAGCCGCCGCCGUAACAC
RNAcentral lists this ribosomal RNA (481 nucleotides) under uncultured bacterium. Its description in RNAcentral is "bacterial SSU rRNA". It matches the Rfam family "Bacterial small subunit ribosomal RNA", at positions 28 to 526 of the family's 1533-position model. The record is from RNAcentral.